GGGGGAGGAAUUGGCGGGGGAGCACCGCAACGGGAGGAGCGUGCGGUUUAAUUGGAUUCAACACCGGAAAACUCACCAAGGGCGACUGUUACAUGAAGGCCAGGCCGACGACCUUGCCGGAUUUUCAGAGAGGUGGUGCAUGGCCGUCGUCAGUUCGUACCGUAAGGCGUUCUCUUAAGUGAGAUAACGAACGAGACCCUCACCGAUAAUUGCUACUUCUUCCUCCGGGGAGGAGGCACAUUAUCGGGACCGCUGGCGCUAAGCCAGAGGAAGGAGAGGUCAACGGUAGGUCAGUAUGCCCCGAAUCUCUUGGGCUACACGCGCGCUACAAAGGGCGGGACAAUGGGCUCCGACGCCGAGAGGCGGAGGCAAUCCCGAAACCCGUCCGUAGUUCGGAUUGAGGGCUGUAACCCGCCCUCAUGAAGCUGGAUUCCGUAGUAAUCGCGAAUCAACAACUCGCGGUGAAUAUGCCCCUGCUCCUUGCACACACCGC
Molecule: ribosomal RNA, 493 nt
Filed under: uncultured archaeon
Lineage: Archaea
Description: bacterial SSU rRNA
Rfam family: Archaeal small subunit ribosomal RNA
Source: RNAcentral